This 73-nucleotide ribosomal RNA is filed under the name Chloroflexota bacterium. Its description in RNAcentral is "Chloroflexi bacterium (marine sediment metagenome) partial 16S ribosomal RNA". It matches the Rfam family "Bacterial small subunit ribosomal RNA", at positions 1 to 73 of the family's 1533-position model. The record is from RNAcentral. Lineage: Bacteria; Bacillati; Chloroflexota.
UUUUUGGAGAGUUUGAUCCUGGCUCAGGAUAAACGCUGGCGGCGUGCCUUAUGCAUGCAAGUCGUACGAGUUC